UACGUAGGGUGCAAGCGUUAAUCGGAAUUACUGGGCGUAAAGCGUGCGCAGGCGGUUAUGUAAGACAGUUGUGAAAUCCCCGGGCUCAACCCGGGAACUGCGUCCGAGACUGGAAGGCUUGAAUCCGGGAGAGGGAUGUGGAAUUCCAGGUGUAGCGGUGAAAUGCGUAGAUAUCUGGAGGAACAUCGGUGGCGAAGGCGGCAUCCUGGACCGGUAUUGACGCUGAGGCGCGAAAGCCAGGGGAGCAAACGGG
Molecule: ribosomal RNA, 253 nt
Filed under: uncultured bacterium
Lineage: Bacteria
Description: partial 16S ribosomal RNA
Rfam family: Bacterial small subunit ribosomal RNA
Source: RNAcentral